CUGAGCGUGGAGCCUGCUUAAGAUUCUCUCUCUCCCUCUGCCCCCCCCCCCCCCCCCCCCGCUUGUGUGUGCACUCUCUCUCUCAAAACAAACAAACAAAAAAACACAUGUGAAACCAAACUAUAUUUGCAGGUGAAAUUCAGCUGUGCCAAUUUUUACCAUCGUGCAAUGAUUUUCAAACUUAGUCUAUUGCUGGUUUUGAACAGCACAUUCUAAAAUUGUAUGUUAAGUUUACUUUUCAGUUACAAAUAAAAUCGAAAUCAUACCUAAUUCUUACAAGAAGCAACAGGCAUUCUUUAAAACCUUUAUAUUAUUCUACAUAAGAAAGGAGGAAGCAUAUGAUUUCCUGAAGAAGUUACAAUUUAUUGCCAAGAAAAAAGUAAUCUCAUAGGACUUUUCACUACAAUUAAUUAAUUAAAAAACAACUUGAGUCUGAAAAUCAAAUAUUACAGAGAGUGCAAAGAAAUGCAGCAGUCUUCUUAAAAAAAAAAAAAAGCAACAGUCUGAAGCAAAUGUCUUCAGCUGCCUCUGAUUUUAUAUUUUGGGAUAUUUAUUUCCAUACUUCUAAAUAAUAUUCUUAUAGUGCUUACAGUGUUUCUUGGCCUUUCAGCUUGAUACAUCAGCUGUUGACUUCCUGCUACGGAAGAAUGAAGAUUUAACUCCAUCGCUUCCCCCACACAUAGUUCGGGCACCAUUUUUUGUCCAAUCGGUUACUAUGUUUUAAAGGCUUAACGUAAACCUCUAUAUUUAUUUAUUUAUUUAUUUGACAGAGAUAGAGACAGCCAGCGAGAGAGGGAACACAAGCAGGGGGAGUGGGAGAGGGAAGAAGCAGGCUCAUAGCAGAGGAGCCUGAUGUGGGGCGAUCCCAUAACGCCGGGAUCACGCCCUGAGCCGAAGGCAGACGCUUAACCGCUGUGCCACCCAGGCGCCCCUCUAUUUUUUUUUCUAUUCCAUCAGAUAUCUGUUGUAACUAUUGAUUUCCUCUCUUAAUAAUUUGUUCAGCCACAAGGAACAGAAAGUCCUACAAAGAAUAGUGGCUCAGACAAAAAAAGGGUCUGUGUGUUUUUCCACAAAGGAAGUCUGCAAGUGGGCAAUUGGCUAGUGUUGCUGUGGCUACUGAACGGUUCUUCAGAGAGCUGGGUUUUGUCCCCUUGCUCAUCGCCUCAGGGUCACAAGAGGACUGUCACAGCUGAAGAUGACUCAUCUCUUUUGGAGGAAGAAGAUUAUAGGCUCCAGUUGCAUCUGUCCCCUUUCAUCAGAAACGCAAAAGCUUCCUCAGAAGUUGCAGGAGACCUGCUGCUGCGUACGUUUCAGUAGCCAAAAUGGCGUCACUCAGGUGUCAGGAAGUCCGGAAGGGCAGGUACUUCGGAAGGCACAUUGCUGUCUUGCCUAAAAAUGAGAUUUUGUUAGUAGGGGAAAAAGCAAGGGACAUGAGGUAAGCGACUAGCAUUGCUGACUGCGUAUUUCUCACGGGGGGCUUUAAGUGGAGGACCCCGGCUGCUGGCAGCUAAUGCUGAUAGUGCUGUUUCUACGGUAACUCGCCUUUGAUCGGCACAGCUUUUUUAGCCAACUUGUGAUGCAAAGCCGUUCACUACAACUUGGUAAGAUAGUUCUGGGAGGGUGUAGUCUGAUGUACUUUUAAUACGUAUCCUGACAUCAACGUGAUAUGGGGGUCGGAUGUAGGAUAUUCAGAGCAGUCGUUCUCAGGGGAAUGGUGCCACCCCCAAGGGAGGGUGUUUUUGUAAUUUGGGGAGGGAGGGGGUUGCUUAACACAAUGAUUGGUCCCUUUGCUGGGUGAUAUUUGAAUGUGUGGAGCCCCGGGGGCGCCAGGCCCUUAUAGAGCACAGGACAGUUAUUUAUAGCCAACAGUUGCCCUACAUCUCUAAUAACAUCUGUAUCUCCCACUGAACAAUUACGUGAAAAUUUUGUUUAUAAUGAGAAAGAAAAAGCACCCCCCUAACAGCUGUCGGCUGGAAGCUGACCCGACCUGAACUGCAAAGCCUAUGGCUUCCUGUUGAACAUAAUUUUAUUCAACACUAACAUCUGACAGAGCCAUUCUGUGACCAUGACAGAGCCAUUCUGUGACCGUGACAGAGCAAGGCAGAAAUAAGGACUCUGUAAUCAUGCUGGAGCAUAGGAACGAGAAUACUGCACAAACCACAAAAAAUGACCAAACACACCCCCUCCCCGUCCUGGCCUACAUGAGUGACUGACUGCCGCUUCGGGCCACUUUCUGCUACCUCCCAGAUGAGCGUGAAGAUGCCCACGUGUAGAAUUCCUUCGUUUUCUGAAAGCACCCAAUCCAGACUGAACCUACGACUUGUGGAACCCUCCUUGAAAGGGCCUGACACAAGCCCAAAUCCUAGAAUAAAUCCUUCCUAACAGUACUGAGGCAUCCCAUGGUGUGGGAUCUCCCUUGUGCAAAGAGCGCUAGUAAACCCACUUGGCUCGACCACAGCUCUGUACCCCAUGGUGUCUCUAGCUGGCGAAUGCUGACAGUAAUUAUCUGAGCCUAGACUCUUAAGUCCGUUGUACAUAUAUAAACUACAAUUUACAUUUUUUGUUGCAGUUUUGCGGUACUCCUCCAAAAACGUGACUGGCGAGUGAGGGAAGGUUGUACUCUUUGCUCAGGACUCUACCAAGAGUUUUUCACCAUUUUGAAAACUCCUGUCACCAGUGGCAACGUUGCUCAUGGCAUUUGAGUGGCAAGUCAAAAUUCACUGCAGCGACCUCGGUCUGCAUCCGCAGUGACCCCUUUCGUGAUGGUUGUUGAAGUCCAACAAUGUCACCCAUGGAUUUGUCUUCAUAAUUGUAAACAUUUCUUCUAGGAUGUUUUCUCUGCCCGCUCUUUUCCUCUUUUUUUUUUUUUUUUAAAGAGGGGGAGAGGGGUAGAAAGACAAUCUUAAGCAGGCGCCAUGCUCUUGGAGCCCGAUGUAGGGCUCCAUCUCACAACGCUGCGAUCAUGACCUGAAUGGAAAUGAGUCAGAAACUACUGACUCAGCCACCCGGGCGCCCCAUCCUCUUUCUGCUUGUAACUUGCACAUCGUCCACUAGAUGGCGGUACAUCAACAUAAAAUGUAAAUGAAACCUUUCCCAUUGCAGCACCUUAUUUACUUGGUUUAGUGGGAAAUGGUGAUUUUCCUGGAAAAUUAGCCUGCAAAUAGUGAGUUAGGACUAAAUCCAUGUUUCCUGUGGUGCAAUUAAUUAAAAUCGGUGCUGAUGAAUCGAUGCUGGACGAAUAGAAUAACGUAUCCAGUACCUAGAGUGUACCUGACACAGAGAUAAAGGUACUGUGGACAAAAAGAAACAUAAGAACCAUCUGUGAUACGUCUGCUUUCCUCGUAUUGCCAAAUCUCCCUCCCCCCACAUUGAACUCUGAGGAUUAGAAGGUCAGUAGUUUUCCCAGGGUCAUAGAAGUAGAGAGAGACGAAGCCAGGAUUUGUCAGUGCUGGGGGAAGACGAUGAGUUUGGAUUGAAGAUACGUUGGGUUUGGGGCACCUGGGUGGCACAGUCGGUUCAGAGUCCGACUCCUGGUUUCAGCUCAGGCUGUGAUCUCAGGGUGAGAUCGAGCCCCCCCACCCCAUGUCGGGCUCUGUGCUCAGCCCAGAGUCUGCUUGAGAUUCUCUCUCUCUCCCUCUGCCCAUCUUGCUCAUGCUCUCUCUCUCUCUCGCUCAAAUAAAUAAAUAAGAGACGUUGGGUCUGAAGCCAGUGGUCACAUCCAAGCACCGGAAUGCAAUGGAGCCUGGAAUUCCACCUUAGGAUUGGGCCAAAGGUGUAAUAAAUUUAAGAGGCCUCUCCACAGAGCGGAGUGGAAGCUAUGAUGACGUAUGGAUUGUCUGUGGCCAAGUGCCUGUUGCAGAACCAACGCCCAAGUGCAUCGACAGAGCAAGGGUUAAGGGUACCUUGCAGACCUGGCAGACCUGAGUUUGAAUCCUGGCCUCCUACUCCCACCUGAGUGUUCACGGGCAAGAUUGUGAACCUCGUUGACCCCUUGCAAGAACCCCACAAGGGGGAUACUGUCUCCAUUUACACGCAAGUGAACUGAGGCUUAAAGAAUGUAGGAAUUGAUCCAAGAUCAUGGCGUGUCUACUGUGCGAUGGAUCCAAGGUUCCAGUCUGGAGUCCGAUUUAGGCUUACACGGCUGCGUACCGCUUACUUUGCUCCCAGGGUCAUAGCACCGAGGACACUGCCUAGUAAUCCCUUGUGUACAUGGGAUUCUCCCUGGACUAGUCAGGGUUCUCCAGAGAAACAGAACGAGCAGGGGAGAUAAGUGUAUCUCUCUCUCUCACUCUGUCUGUAUCUUUAUAUCUCCAUAUCUAUAAACAGUAGGAUACAUUCCAUGAACUAAGUCUGUAUAGAGGUGCCUGUGUAUCUAGUUCACACACACACACACACACACACACACACACAGAUGUAUUUCAAGGAACUGGCUGCUUCUGCGGCUGUGACAUUUGGCCAAGUCCCAAGUCUGUAGGGCAGCUUUGGCCAGCAUUCAUAGCCACGAGCUCCUGUUGCAAUGCCCAGGCCAACUUUCUUCAGGAAACGCUCAAGUUUUGCCCGGAAGGCCUUCUAACUCAUUGGAUGACACCCACCCACCUUACCGAGGGGAAUCUCUUUUACGCAAAGUCAACAGAUUGUAGAUGUUAAUCACAGUGCGGGGAUCGAACUCACGACCUGGAGAUCAAGAGUUGCAUACUCUACCCACGGAGCCAGCUAGGUGCCCUGGAGGCCCACGCCCAAUGUGGGGCUUGAACCCGCAACCCUGAGAUCACGACCGGAGCCAAAAUCAAGAGUCACCCGUUUAACUGACUGUACCACCCAGACGCUCCGUUUUGCCCAGUUUUGAAAAAGGAUCGGGCUGAAGUUUUAGAAAGACCUGUGGCCAGGUUCAACUGACUGCCUUGUCCAACUGAGCCGAUGAAGGGACUGAACAGGUGUGCUGGGCUGUUGCUGGAAGCAUUUCUGCUGUGGCCAAGGGACCGACCUAAAUGACAUCCGGGGCCCAUCCUCAAGGUUCUUUAUGGCUUGAUUUUUUUUUUUUUUUUUAGCUUGGCCUCUAUAAGAGGCAGGCGACACCAACUGACUGUGUUUUGAAGAAUGUUGAGAAAAGAAGAAUCCCCGAAGACCCCACCCCGUUAAAAAAAAAAAAAGACUAGGGUUUUAAAACAAGAAUUUCCCCCACCUAUCAGUUGCAUUUAUAUUUUAAUUUGAUUUCUCACCUUUUGUGUGCCUUUCCGCACAUGUGUCAUACGCAUGUUGUUGCAAUAAACCAUGUGGAUAUCCA
Molecule: long non-coding RNA, 5284 nt
Organism: Ailuropoda melanoleuca (giant panda)
Lineage: Eukaryota; Metazoa; Chordata; Mammalia; Carnivora; Ursidae
Exons: 5
Source: RefSeq, a predicted model, not a curated record